GAUGAAGGUUGAUGAUUACAACUGAAUGACUGAAUCAGUCCACUUACACAAUUAAAGAUGGUUGAAGAACCAUGCUGGAGACAGAAGAACUUGGAAAGUGGUGAGAAGAUGUUGAUGAUUACAACUGAAUGACUGAAUCAGUCCACUUACACAAUUAAAGAUGGUUGAAGAACCAUGCUGGAGACAGAAGAACUUGGAAAGUGGUGAGAAGAUGUUGAUGAUGCCUA
Hordeum vulgare subsp. vulgare (domesticated barley) is the source of this 227-nucleotide long non-coding RNA. RefSeq lists it as uncharacterized. The record is from RefSeq and is a predicted model, not a curated record. The transcript has 4 exons. NCBI's taxonomy places the organism in Eukaryota, Viridiplantae, Streptophyta, Magnoliopsida, Poales, Poaceae.